UAUAUAUAUAUAUAUAUGUAUGCAUAUGUACACAUGCAUAUAUGUAUAUACACAUAUGCACAAACCAUCAUAUUACCAUAUCUUCAUGCAGUCCAUCACCAUACAGUCCAUCACCAUGAUCUCAACCUGCUAGAAAUAGCAGCCAAAUCUGCCUACACUCACACCUUGCAGUUUUUAAGUAACAGAAGGACCAGCAGUAAUGUGCUCCAAAAAACAUUGGAGUGUCGUGGCUGGGUUGUCUCUAACCAUGGUUUUGCUCAUUAGAGUUUGACGUGGAUCAUAACAACAACUAGCACCACACAUGAAACAUCACAUUGCUAUACACCACUUCCAUAUUGCUACCAUACCAUCGACUUAACUAUUGCCCUUUGCUUACCGUUAUUGCUCCGGAAAUACCACUGCAAUGGUAUUUUGCUCACCUCAACAGCAUAAACCACAUAUUGUUAGCAAUAGAGGUAGACACCCAAAACCUUUGCCCACCCAUUCUUUUUCUCUGCCUCUAAUGGUUUUACCAUUCGUAUAACUUACCCAAAGUUGGCUUGGUAACUAUACCAUGGUAACUAUACCAUCACCUUCAGAGUUACCAGCUCUGUUUAAAAAGAUCUACCCCCAGUUAGGAGAUACACUAUCUCCAUGGGAUACUAUCAUCUUUAAUUUACCCACAGGUAGUAAUUUCUUCUGUUGGUUUUUAAAAUCCUUGUUAAAUUUAACCACAAGUUCAUAACUUUCUACUGGUUACCAUCAAUUUUUUUUUUUAACCCAGAAUCUCUUUUUAUAAUUACCUCAACUGGUAAAUAAAAGCUAUUUUAUUUUAUCCACUUUUUAUAACUUUCUACUGGUUACCACCAAUUUUUUUUACCAGAAUCUCUUGGUAAUUACCACAGCUGAUAAAUGAAACCCACUGAUUUAUAACUUUCUGCUGGUUACCAUCAAUUUUUUUUACCAGAAUCUCUUGGUAAUUACCACAGCUGAUAAAUGAAACCCACUGAUUUAUAACUUUUUGCUGGUUACCACCAAUUUUUUUUACCAGAAUCUCUUGGUAAUUACCACAGCUGAUAAAUGAAACCCACUGAUAUAUAACUUUUUGCUGGUUACCACCAAACUCUUUCUUUUUUUACCUACAUUCUCUUGCUAAUUAUUUCAGCUGGUUAAAAAAAAAAACAAGACAAUUUUACCCAUAACUAUUUCUGCUGGUUACCAUAAAUUUUUAUUAUUUACCCAGAACCCCUUGGUAAUUGCUCCAGUUGGUAAAAGAAAAAAAACACUUUAUUCUACCCACAUGUUUGUAACUGUUUCUGCUGGUUACCAUUAAUUUUUUUUGUUCCCCACAAUUCAUUGGUAAUUACCUCACCUGGUAAAUGAAAGCCACUUUAUUUUAACCACAGGUUCAUAACUGUCUCUACUGAUUACCAUCGAAGCUUUUUUCUUUCCCCAUAACCUCUUUGUAACUACCUUCACUGGUAAAAGGGGGGGAACGUUUUAACCACAGGUUCAUAGCUGUUUCCCCUGGUUACCAUCAAAAAAUUUUUAACAUUUCACCUCAGUCUCUUGGUAUUUGCUUCAGCUGGUAAUAAACCCAAUUUAUUUUACUCACUGGUUAAUAACUGUUUCUGCUGGUUAUCAUCAAAGUUUCUUUUUUAUUUACCCACAAUGUCUUGGUAAUUGCUUCAGCUGGUAAAUAAACCCACUUUAUUUUACCCAUAACUGUUUCUGCCAGUUACCAUCAAUUUUUUUUUAUUUACCCAGAAUCUCUUGGUAAUUGCUUCAGGUGUUAAAAUAAAACAACUUUAUUUUUCCCACAAAUUCAUAACUGUUUCUGCUAAGUACCAUAAAAGUUGUUUUUUUUUAAUUUGUCCACAAUCGCUUGAUAAUUACUCCAGCUGGUAAAAAAAGAAACCCGACUGAAUUUUACCUACAGGUUCAUAGCUGUUUCUGCUGGUUACCAUCAAUUCUUUUUUAUUUACCUACAAUCUCUUGGUAAUUACUUCAGCUGGUAAAAAAACAACUUUAUUUUACCCACAGGUUCAUAGCUGUUUCUGCUGGUUACCAUCAAUUCUUUAUUUACCUACAAUCUCUUGGUAAUUACUUCAGCUGGUAAAAAAAAAACCCACUUUCUUUUACCUUCAGAUUUAUAACUAUCUCUGCCUGUUACCAUCAAGGUUUUUUGUAUAUUUACCCACAGAGUUUUUAUUUUUAUUUUUACCAGGUGGUAAAAAGAAAACACUAUUUUUACCCAUACAUUCAUAACUGCCUCUGCUGCUUACCAUCACUUUCUCAUUUUACUCCCAAUCAGUUGGUAAUUACCUCAGCUUGCUAGAAACCACUGUUACAGGUAAAUUGACCCACUGCCUCAACUGAUUACCAUCAUAUUUUUCAGUUACCCACCCUCUGUUGGUAACUACAUCAUCUGGUUUAACCUAAAUUAUUUAUCAACUUCUUUCUUAAUUACUCCUGUCGGUUACCUCUGUGGCCAAUAUACCCACAAUCAGUAAUUGCCACAGCUGAUUAAAAACUAUUUAUUUUGCCCACACGGUUAAUUAGUGUCUAAUUAUCCAUCACAUUUUUAUCAUUUAUCCACAAUCAAUUGUCAGUUGCCUCAAAUGGUUAAAAAUCUAUCACUAUUUUACCCACAGGUUCAUAACAGCUUCUACUGCUUUUCUCAUUUACCCACAGUCAGUUGAUAAUUGCCUCAGAUUCCUAGAAACCACAAUUUAAUUUACCCAUGGGUUCAUAACAGCCUCUACUGCUUUUCUCAAUUACCCACAAUCAGUUGAUAAUUGCCACAGAUUCCUAGAAACCACAAUUUAAUUUACCCACAGGUUCAUAACAGCCUCUACUGCUUUUCUCAUUUACCCACAAUCAGUUGAUAAUUGCCUCAGAUUCCUAGAAACCACAAUUUAAUUUACCCACAGGUUCAUAACAGCCUCUACUGCUUUUCUCAUUAACCCACAAUCAGUU
RNAcentral lists this long non-coding RNA (2958 nucleotides) under Octopus sinensis (East Asian common octopus). Its description in RNAcentral is "uncharacterized LOC118768558". The record is from RNAcentral. Lineage: Eukaryota; Metazoa; Mollusca; Cephalopoda; Octopoda; Octopodidae.